Molecule: ribosomal RNA, 253 nt
Filed under: uncultured bacterium
Lineage: Bacteria
Description: partial 16S ribosomal RNA
Rfam family: Bacterial small subunit ribosomal RNA
Source: RNAcentral
UACGUAGGGCGCGAGCGUUGUCCGGAUUUAUUGGGCGUAAAGAGCUCGUAGGCGGUUUGUCGCGUCUGCCGUGAAAGUCCGGGGCUCAACUCCGGAUCUGCGGUGGGUACGGGCAGACUAGAGUGAUGUAGGGGAGACUGGAAUUCCUGGUGUAGCGGUGAAAUGCGCAGAUAUCAGGAGGAACACCGAUGGCGAAGGCAGGUCUCUGGGCAUUAACUGACGCUGAGGAGCGAAAGCAUGGGGAGCGAACAGG